ACGAACGCUGGCGGCAUGCCUAACACAUGCAAGUCGAACGAGCCCUUCGGGGUUAGUGGCGCACGGGUGCGUAACGCGUGGGAAUCUGCCCUUGGGUUCGGAAUAACAGUGAGAAAUUACUGCUAAUACCGGAUGAUGUCUUCGGACCAAAGAUUUAUCGCCCAAGGAUGAGCCCGCGUAGGAUUAGCUAGUUGGUGGGGUAAUGGCCUACCAAGGCGACGAUCCUUAGCUGGUCUGAGAGGAUGAUCAGCCACACUGGGACUGAGACACGGCCCAGACUCCUACGGGAGGCAGCAGUGGGGAAUAUUGGACAAUGGGCGAAAGCCUGAUCCAGCAAUGCCGCGUGAGUGAUGAAGGCCUUAGGGUUGUAAAGCUCUUUUACCCGGGAUGAUAAUGACAGUACCGGGAGAAUAAGCUCCGGCUAACUCCGUG
Molecule: ribosomal RNA, 432 nt
Filed under: uncultured bacterium
Lineage: Bacteria
Description: partial 16S ribosomal RNA
Rfam family: Bacterial small subunit ribosomal RNA
Source: RNAcentral